This 382-nucleotide unclassified non-coding RNA is filed under the name Hevea brasiliensis (rubber tree). Lineage: Eukaryota; Viridiplantae; Streptophyta; Magnoliopsida; Malpighiales; Euphorbiaceae. The record is from RNAcentral.
CAACAGUCCUUAUACACGAGGCAAGUAAUGAAAUUCUAUUGUAUUUAAUUAGUCUUCUUUUGGAGAAAGCUCGUGCAAUAUCUUAAAAUUCUAUUGGUUUGAGUCGUACAUCGAUCUGCAACUGGUAAAUGGUGACAAUAAAGCUUUCAUUGUGUGGGUUUUCUCUCUGACUUAGCCCUGCUUGCAUGUACAUUAAGAAACUUCAAGUCAGAUGUCAGAAUAUGUUUCUGAUUCAGUGGUCAUAUAAUCGCCACUUUAAAGUCAUGUAUUAACAUAUAUUCCAAGUGAAUAUAGUUAAAAAGACGUAUUUUCUUUAAAGGUCUAGUUGGCCUAUUCAGCUUGGUGGAGUGCCAUACACAUAUGCAGAGAGAGAGAGAGAGAG